UACGUAGGUGGCAAGCGUUGUCCGGAUUUAUUGGGUUUAAAGGGUGCGUAGGCGGCUUUAUAAGUCAGUGCUGAAAUAUCCCGGCUUAACCGGGAGGGUGGCAUUGAUACUGCAGAGCUUGAGUGAAGUCGAGGUAGGCGGAAUUGACGGUGUAGCGGUGAAAUGCUUAGAUAUCGUCAAGAACACCGAUAGUGAAGACAGCUUACUAGACUUCAACUGACGCCGAGGCACGAAAGUGUGGGGAUCAAACAGG
Molecule: ribosomal RNA, 253 nt
Filed under: uncultured bacterium
Lineage: Bacteria
Description: partial 16S ribosomal RNA
Rfam family: Bacterial small subunit ribosomal RNA
Source: RNAcentral